GUCUGGACCAGGAGAAGGAUACAUCGUCUGACCCGAAGAACCAAAUGAAUCAAACUAGAAAGAAGAGAAUGGAAAAGUGCAUAGCUAUAAUGUUGAAAGAGCUAGUAACAAGAGUAGAAAAUGUGUAUUCUGAUACAUCAUGGAACUCAUACAUAGAAAUUUCAAAUGAAAAAUGCAGCCAAUCUGCAUUUGCCAUUAUCUGCAUGGAAGAUAAUACGCUAAAGAUCUUUGACGAGGUUCGUCCAUAUAUUCCAACAAAAAAAUGUCAAAGAACAAAUCACAAUACAAACACAAGACAUAGUGAAGAAAUUUUACUUGAUGACAUGAAUACAUUUUUAGCACAAGAUAAAAAAGUUAAAUGGAUAUUUUUAAAUUCAUAUAAUAGUCCAUGUUUUGAAAGGGAUGAUCAAAUUGAGGGUUGUAUGUUUUUGAUUUUAAGCAACGCUUAUGAAUGGUAUGUAAAAUAUGAUGCUAUCACAGUUUUGACAUACACAAAACCUUGGGGACUUUGUGGACCAGGUUACUUUAAUGAGCUUUCAUCUAAAGACAUCAUGAAUCCUAAGAGUCCUUUCAAGUCUUGUGUUGAGGAAUAUGAGAUUCGCUAUGAAUUGGAUUGUGAGAAUUUAAAUAAAAAAUUAAAAAAUAAUAAAAUAUUGAAGCAAUAUUCAUGUGGUGAAGAUAGUAAGAAUAUUAAAUUUGCUCGAGAAGCUCUAGUGGAGCUGGCUGCAGAAUUACCUCGGCUGCGUAAAGCUUUCUUGGAGCUUGGAGAUAAGAAAAUUGAUUCUUUCAUAUUUCUAUCAGAGAAAAUUAAACCUAUUCUGAAGAAGUUGUGGAGAGAAAAUGUUAACAAUAGUUUUGUGUCAUUGCUUAAAGAAUAUAUUACAACAAUAUUUAACAAAAAAGUAGUUGAUCUUUUUACACAGGAGCUAGAGUCACAACUUGGAAUCAGCAGCUUCAUCCAGCUUCACCAGCUUCCUCCAGUAAAAUUAAAAGAUGAAUACAGACAAAUCUUUUAAAUUCAGAUUUGUAUUUUGUCUAUGAUUAAAUAAAACAGAAUUGUAAUAACCAACUCUGGUAUUUUUUUCCUCAUCAACAAAUUGUACACUAUCUUCCUGCUUACACAUUUAAAGCAAUGAUACAAAGAUGGAUGAGAACAAAACACUUUUAAAUUCUAGUUUUUGGGCAAAGUUUUAUGAUUUUUUUAAAAAAAUCAUACUGUCUUUCUUCACUGAGGCUGUUCAGAAAGAUUUAACAGGUACACAGAGUUCUGUAAAGAAACCAUAAUGGACACAAUGCAGAGAAACACAAAAAAAUUGUGUUUUUUUAUUAGUAUUUUAAUUACCAUUACGAGACUUUGUUAGGUACCAUUGUGCUGUCACAUGAAAUUAUUAUUUUGAUAUGGAGCUUUGAGAGUUGGCACUAACAACAUACAAAUAAACAUCCCUGUAUACAAGACUAUAUGUAAAAAUGACACAAGAUAAAAACACAGAGUGACAUCCUCUUAACACAAGAUAUAUUUUCAG
Molecule: long non-coding RNA, 1523 nt
Organism: Astatotilapia calliptera (eastern happy)
Lineage: Eukaryota; Metazoa; Chordata; Actinopteri; Cichliformes; Cichlidae
Source: Ensembl